AGGAGAGUUUGAUCCUGGCUCAGGAUGAACGCUAGCUACAGGCUUAACACAUGCAAGUCGAGGGGCAUCAUGAGAGGACUUCGGUCCUUUCGAUGGCGACCGGCGAAUGGGUGAGUAACACGUAUCCAACCUGCCCCUGACCGGGGGAUAGCCCUCCGAAAGGAGAAUUAACACCCCAUGGGUGUCCGUGCGGCAUCGCGCGGCCAUGAAAGGUUACGGUCAGGGAUGGGGAUGCGUCCGAUUAGCUUGCUGGCGGGGUAACGGCCCACCAGGGCGUCGAUCGGUAGGGGUUCUGAGAGGAAGGUCCCCCACACUGGAACUGAGACACGGUCCAGACUCCUACGGGAGGCAGCAGUGAGGAAUAUUGGUCAAUGGGCGGAAGCCUGAACCAGCCAAGUAGCGUGAAGGAUGACGGCCCUACGGGUUGUAAACUUCUUUUAUGCGGGAACAAAGUGCGCCACGCGUGGCGUUUUGCGCGUACCGCAGGAAAAAGCACCGGCUAAUUCCGUGCCAGCAGCCGCGGUAAUACGGAAGGUGCGAGCGUUAUCCGGAUUCAUUGGGUUUAAAGGGAGCGUAGGCGGAGCGCCAAGUCAGCUGUGAAAUCCCGCGGCUCAACCGUGGAACUGCAGUUGAAACUGGCGCCCUUGAGUGCACAUGAGGAUGGUGGAAUUCGUGGUGUAGCGGUGAAAUGCUUAGAUAUCACGAAGAACUCCGAUUGCGAAGGCAGCUGUCUGGGGUGCCACUGACGCUGAGGCUCGAAAGUGCGGGUAUCAAACAGGAUUAGAUACCCUGGUAGUCCCCU
This 802-nucleotide ribosomal RNA is filed under the name uncultured Bacteroidota bacterium. Its description in RNAcentral is "bacterial SSU rRNA". It matches the Rfam family "Bacterial small subunit ribosomal RNA", at positions 1 to 799 of the family's 1533-position model. The record is from RNAcentral. Lineage: Bacteria; Pseudomonadati; Bacteroidota.